GAUGAACGCUGGCGGCGUGCCUAAUACAUGCAAGUCGAGCGAACAGACGAGGAGCUUGCUCCUCUGACGUUAGCGGCGGACGGGUGAGUAACACGUGGAUAACCUACCUAUAAGACCGGGAUAACUUCGGGAAACCGGAGCUAAUACCGGAUAAUAUAUUGAACCGCAUGGUUCAAUAGUGAAAGACGGUUUUGCUGUCACUUAUAGAUGGAUCCGUGCCGCAUUAGCUAGUUGGUAAGGUAACGGCUUACCAAGGCAACGAUGCGUAGCCGACCUGAGAGGGUGAUCGGCCACACUGGAACUGAGACACGGUCAAGACUCCUACGGGAGGCAGCAGUAGGGAAUCUUCCGCAAUGGGCGAAAGCCUGACGGAGCAACGCCGCGUGAGUGAUGAAGGUCUUCGGAUCGUAAAACUCUGUUAUUAGGGAAGAACAAAUGUGUAAGUAACUAUGCACGUCUUGACGGUACCUAAUCAGAAAGCCACGGCUAACUACGUG
This 497-nucleotide ribosomal RNA is filed under the name uncultured bacterium. RNAcentral's name for it is "partial 16S ribosomal RNA". It matches the Rfam family "Bacterial small subunit ribosomal RNA", at positions 28 to 507 of the family's 1533-position model. The record is from RNAcentral.